This 403-nucleotide ribosomal RNA is filed under the name uncultured bacterium. Its description in RNAcentral is "bacterial SSU rRNA". It matches the Rfam family "Bacterial small subunit ribosomal RNA", at positions 29 to 429 of the family's 1533-position model. The record is from RNAcentral.
AUUGAACGCUGGCGGCAUGCCUAGCACAUGCAAGUCGAACGGCAGCACGGCAGUAGCAAUACUGUGGGUGGCGAGUGGCGGACGGGUGAGGAAUACGUCGGAAUCUGCCCAGUCGUGGGGGAUAACUAGCCGAAAGGUUAGCUAAUACCGCAUACGACCGAGAGGUGAAAGCGGGGGACCGCAAGGCCUCGCGCGAUUGGAUGAGCCGACGUCGGAUUAGCUAGUUGGUGGGGUAAAGGCCCACCAAGGCGACGAUCCGUAGCUGGUCUGAGAGGAUGAUCAGCCACACUGGAACUGAGACACGGUCCAGACUCCUACGGGAGGCAGCAGUGGGGAAUAUUGGACAAUGGGCGCAAGCCUGAUCCAGCAAUGCCGCGUGUGUGAAGAAGGCCUCGGUUGUAAG